RNAcentral lists this ribosomal RNA (251 nucleotides) under uncultured prokaryote. Its description in RNAcentral is "partial 16S rRNA". It matches the Rfam family "Bacterial small subunit ribosomal RNA", at positions 525 to 775 of the family's 1533-position model. The record is from RNAcentral.
ACGUAGGGGACAAGCGUUAUUCGGAAUUACUGGGCUUAAAGGGUACGUAGGCGGCGCGUUAAGCCUGCCGUGAAAGUCAGCGGCUCAACCGGUGGAAUGCCGUGGGGACUGGGGCUCUUGGAUACUGUAGGGGAGGGUGGAACUCGUGGUGUAGCGGUGAAAUGCAUAGAUAUCACGAGGAACGCCGGUAGCGAAGGCAGCUCGCCGGGCAGGUAUUGACGCUGAGGCGCGAAAGCGUGGGGAUCGAUCAG